This 430-nucleotide ribosomal RNA is filed under the name uncultured Dyella sp. Its description in RNAcentral is "bacterial SSU rRNA". It matches the Rfam family "Bacterial small subunit ribosomal RNA", at positions 355 to 775 of the family's 1533-position model. Lineage: Bacteria; Pseudomonadati; Pseudomonadota; Gammaproteobacteria; Lysobacterales; Rhodanobacteraceae. The record is from RNAcentral.
UGGGGAAUAUUGGACAAUGGGCGCAAGCCUGAUCCAGCAAUGCCGCGUGUGUGAAGAAGGCCUUCGGGUUGUAAAGCACUUUUAUCAGGAGCGAAAUACUACCGGCCAAUACCCGGUGGGGCUGACGGUACCUGAGGAAUAAGCACCGGCUAACUUCGUGCCAGCAGCCGCGGUAAUACGAAGGGUGCAAGCGUUAAUCGGAAUUACUGGGCGUAAAGCGUGCGUAGGCGGUUUGUUAAGUCUGCUGUGAAAUCCCCGGGCUCAACCUGGGAAUGGCAGUGGAUACUGGCAAGCUAGAGUGUGUCAGAGGAUGGUGGAAUUCCCGGUGUAGCGGUGAAAUGCGUUAGAGAUCGGGAGGAACAUCAGUGGCGAAGGCGGCCAUCUGGGACAACACUGACGCUGAGGCACGAAAAGCGUGGGGAGCAAAACA